AUUUGGGUUACCCAGCAAAAGUGUAUGUAUCAGUCUCUGGUUAAAAAUUAUGAAUAGAAUAAAGACUAGUCUCCUUCCUCUGGUUUAUCUACCUGUGUUCAUGCACACAGCCAGGCUAACCUUACCUCUUCCAUUUCUGUUAGGUUCCAAAAGGCUAAGCUGGGUGAAAAAAGUUUGUAGAUCAUGUUGCACUGUAUGUAUUUUAGGUGCUACUAUUUAACAACAAAAGCUGGGAGUUCCCACCAUGACUCAGCAGUAACAAACCGGACUAGUAUCCAUGAGGAUACAGGUUCGAUCCUUGGCCUUGCUCAGUGGGUUAAAGAUCCUGUGUUGCUGUGAGCUGUGGGACUCCACAAAUUCCCUAUUUUUUAUCACAAUGUAUACCUGAAAAAAUGUUACAAAGUUUAGUGUCUGGCAGUUGGGCAACAGACCUGCAUGUUACAGUUGUUCCCUCAGAAACCAAACAUGAAAAAUAGUAUUCCCUGAAUCAAAUUUCUUUUUGGUACUGCCCUCCCCAUGGCCAAGCAGUCCUGUUGGCAAUAAUUUCCCCAGGUGUCUUGGAAUUGCUGGCCUGGGAGCCAGUUGGUUGUUUCUGUGUCCUGCCAUAUUCAGUGUGCCAAGACAUGCCACCUUCUAACAAAGGCAGGGCAGAAAGUCAGCCUCCAAUCUGAACCUGGUUAGUAUCUGAAACAAAGGAUAAAGGGUUAUUGCUUAUCUCCUGCGCUCCCAACUGGGAGGGGUAAGCAUAGCGGCUGCUGCUGCUACCUGCUGACAGCCCAGCACUGCCCGCAGCACUGCAGUAGAAGGACUUUGAGCCAGAAAAGCAGCUAUCUGCCCUGUAUGCCAACCUAAUAUGAAGGUGGGACUACAGAUGCAUGCCAUAUCUUGAAAUAAAUCAGGUAGCUGAUUUGUGAAAAACUGAAUGAGAUAGAUGCAAGGUAGGUUGAUGGCCAUCUAAUGUGCCAAAGUGCGGAUUAAGUGAAAUUUGAGCAGAAAAGGUGGAGCUCUGCACAGUCUUAUUGCCUGUGAAUGCUCAGUGUUCACUCUGAACAGCUGCACCCACUUCAUCACCCAUAACACUAUUACUCUGGUAAUACUGGAAUGCUUAACAGUGACAUGCCUUCAAAGCAGACAUUCUGUUACUGCCUUCUGUAAAAACGUCACCUACAAAGAUAUCUGUUGCAGUCACACAAUAUGUAGGGCAUCUUAGAGACGCUGAAGGUUUUCCAAGCCAAAUAUCACCAGGAAGAUUCUUCCCCAGAGUAAAAGCCACUUCUUCUAGGCAUGUGUUUCUUUUCCCAUUCUCAGCACUUCUCUGGCUGGAAAAACAUGAGAAAACCAUCUGCUGGCUACCUUUCUGGGGUUUUUACAAUUGGCUGGUUUUAUUCUCAUGUGGGUUACCAAAACACAGGCCUUCCUAUAAAACUAGCAUUGUAAGCACUUCAAAUGCUGUUAAGUUGAUAUUUUUUAUAAAUGAAGCUUAUACUCUGUUUUAAAUCUUAAAAUGCAUUUGAAUGGUAUAUACAGUCAUGACUUAUUCAACUAGAAAAAAAAUGGCUAUUUAUAUAUAGAAGUUAUACAUUUCUCUAAAUGUAUUGCACAAUUCAAUUAUAAACAGAACUAGAGAUUCUCUAAAUCUUUAGCCCCAAAUCCCACCUUCCUAGUCAGAAUAUCUAGCAAAUAACUUGAGUCAUGAGACUGCAGGUAGACAGCUGUAUUACUAAAGAACUAACACUAAUCCAAGCAGGUCCCUGUGGAAUAGCGAAUGGCCUCAGAAAUGCCCAGAUGAGGAAGGUCCCUUUGUGACUUAGUGGUAACAAACCCAACUAGGAUCCAUGAGGACUCGGGUUCAAUCCACGGCCUUGCUCAGUGGGUUAAGGAUUUGGCAUUGCUGUGAGCUGCAGUGUAGGUUACAGACACGACACGGAUCUGGCAUUGCUGUGGCUGUGGCAAAGGACAGCAGCUACAGAUCCAAUUCAACCCCUAGCCUGAGAACUUCUAUAUGCCACAGGUGCAGCCCUAAAAAAGCCAAAAAAAAAGGGGGGGGUGGAGAAAGAAAGAAAGAAAAAAGAAGUUUCCGGAUGAGAACCUCUUUACAAAUAUGGAGAAUAAGGACUCAUCUCAAUAAAAGCUCAGAAAGAGGUAUCUUUCUGCUAAAACCACAACAGCUGCAGAAGGAGAGCACACCGCUAUGAGAGAGCCUUUCCUAGAAACCUUUUUGCUCUUGCUGUCUGUUUUUCACCCUUGGAGAGAAGAGGGGAAGAAAACAGACUGUGUUUGCAUUCUUAGUGUACUGGCACAGGUGGGAGCUGUGGGGUAGCCUCAAAACCUGGGAGAGUGAAACAUGACAAGUUUGCAGACAUACUCAAUUGAUUACUAGCUGGAGCUACACCUCGGCUGGCAUGGUUUAGGCACAGAAUAGUAUUGCAAACAUGGAGUUUUGAGGAAGGCCCUUAGGUGAUUUAAUAGACAGGUUAGAAAUAUACAUACGUUGAUCUUAACAGCAGAUAUAGGAGUACAGUCCAGCUUCAAAU
This 2534-nucleotide long non-coding RNA is filed under the name Sus scrofa (pig). Its description in RNAcentral is "lncRNA (ENSSSCG00035073280.1, ENSSSCG00045014321.1, ENSSSCG00055014479.1, ENSSSCG00065068526.1)". Lineage: Eukaryota; Metazoa; Chordata; Mammalia; Artiodactyla; Suidae. The record is from RNAcentral.